RNAcentral lists this long non-coding RNA (829 nucleotides) under Homo sapiens (human). The record is from RNAcentral. Lineage: Eukaryota; Metazoa; Chordata; Mammalia; Primates; Hominidae.
CCGGCCUUUCUCCUUUUCAUAGUAAUUAUUCUCUCACUAAGCUCAGGAAGCACGCCCUCCACCAUCUCAUUAAGCGAACCGGCUGUGGCUGACUCUUCCCUCCUCUAACAACUGUGGCUCCUCAUAGCCGGCACAAUGACGUCCAAAGCUGUCGGCUCCCGCACGGGUUCCUCCCUUUGAGGCUUGUCUUUCGCACUCCUUCCACCUGCUCGGAGAACUGCGCCCAGGAGGCUGAGCAAGGCUGAUCUUCUACCUGGAAAAGUGGAAGAAGUGAGAGGUCACGAGUCACUUGGACAUCACUGUACCACCUAAGGCCCAAUGGAGAAUGAGUAAGGCUACUAUAAACAUGGUUUAUCUGUGCUAUAGGAAUGCAAAACAUUGUUUGGUGUCAGAAUUUGCAAAACAUGCUUUAUAGCAAUUCAAAAAUAUAACAUGUAAGCCUGUAAGACACUGAAGAAACCAUCUAAGUCAUCUAAGCCCAAUGCCUUCAUUUUACAGAUUGCAUAAGUGAAGGCCAAACUUGCAGGAAUCCCAAGAUCUCAUUGAGAAUGAGAUUGAAUCUUAAUUAUCAUUACAAGCCUAUGCAUUUCUUCCAGAACAUAAUAAGCAUUAAAUUGAUAAAUCAGGUUUCUUGGAUUAAUUGUGAAUGAAUUGAAAAAGGUCCUGGAUUUUCUAACUCUCAAGUCCAAUGUCAAACCCAGAACAAAACAAUUUGACACCAGAAUGACCUUUGGUAUCUCCUGCAGGUAAUGUGGACCCUGGUAUAUUUUAGUUGUUUCAAACAACUGAAAGCUGUGUCUGUUUUCCUGUAUCUUUGCCAACACUGAGC